This 497-nucleotide ribosomal RNA is filed under the name uncultured bacterium. Its description in RNAcentral is "partial 16S ribosomal RNA". It matches the Rfam family "Bacterial small subunit ribosomal RNA", at positions 28 to 507 of the family's 1533-position model. The record is from RNAcentral.
GAUGAACGCUGGCGGCGUGCCUAAUACAUGCAAGUCGAGCGAACGGACGAGAAGCUUGCUUCUCUGAUGUUAGCGGCGGACGGGUGAGUAACACGUGGAUAACCUACCUAUAAGACUGGGAUAACUUCGGGAAACCGGAGCUAAUACCGGAUAAUAUAUUGAACCGCAUGGUUCAAUAGUGAAAGACGGUUUUGCUGUCACUUAUAGAUGGAUCCGCGCCGCAUUAGCUAGUUGGUAAGGUAACGGCUUACCAAGGCAACGAUGCGUAGCCGACCUGAGAGGGUGAUCGGCCACACUGGAACUGAGACACGGUCCAGACUCCUACGGGAGGCAGCAGUAGGGAAUCUUCCGCAAUGGGCGAAAGCUUGACGGAGCAACGCCGCGUGAGUGAUGAAGGUCUUCGGAUCGUAAAACUCUGUUAUUAGGGAAGAACAAAUGUGUAGGUAACUAUGCACGUCUUGACGGUACCUAAUCAGAAAGCCACGGCUAACUACGUG